RNAcentral lists this long non-coding RNA (478 nucleotides) under Vigna radiata. Its description in RNAcentral is "long non-coding RNA (VRAD_LNC006319)". The record is from RNAcentral. Lineage: Eukaryota; Viridiplantae; Streptophyta; Magnoliopsida; Fabales; Fabaceae.
GCAGUUGCAAUGCAUAUGGACACAAUGUAAGGAUGUGUAAGAAGAGCCAGAAAAGCAAGGUAAAUCUUCUUGGUAAUGUUAUUUACAAGUUCAUUUAUUUACAACUAUUUCUUAUCUAACUAUCUUACUCCUUUCAUAGGACAAAAGGGGUGCAUCUGCAUCAACACCUGGAUCUGCUGCAAGGGAAGCGCCAGCAAGAACGACUGCAUCUGCAGGAAGGGGAGCAUCUGGAAGGGGAACAUCUGCAUCAGUUGCAAGGGGGGCAUCAUCCUCAACAUCACAAGCUGGAAGGGGAUCAGGCAGAGAAGUAGGGGCUGCAUCCACAUCACAAGCUGGAGGGUCUGCAACUAUGCGUGAAGGGGGAGCAAGAGCUUCCUCAAGACUAGUUGGACAAUUUCUAGGGUCUCAAGCAAGUUGUAAUUGAGUAGAGGAGAAUCUUUGUAUUUAAAGUUGUUAUUUGAGACAAGUUGUAGUGGAG